This 239-nucleotide ribosomal RNA is filed under the name Escherichia coli. RNAcentral describes it as "partial 16S ribosomal RNA". It matches the Rfam family "Bacterial small subunit ribosomal RNA", at positions 1 to 236 of the family's 1533-position model. Lineage: Bacteria; Pseudomonadati; Pseudomonadota; Gammaproteobacteria; Enterobacterales; Enterobacteriaceae. The record is from RNAcentral. RNAcentral also lists the same sequence under 1 other name.
AAAUUGAAGAGUUUGAUCAUGGCUCAGAUUGAACGCUGGCGGCAGGCCUAACACAUGCAAGUCGAACGGUAACAGGAAGCAGCUUGCUGCUUCGCUGACGAGUGGCGGACGGGUGAGUAAUGUCUGGGAAACUGCCUGAUGGAGGGGGAUAACUACUGGAAACGGUAGCUAAUACCGCAUAAUGUCGCAAGACCAAAGAGGGGGACCUUCGGGCCUCUUGCCAUCGGAUGUGCCCAGAU